GACGAACGCUGGCGGCGUGCUUAACACAUGCAAGUCGAACGCUGAAGACCUGGCUUUUGUUGGGUUGGAUGAGUGGCGAACGGGCGAGUAACACGUGAGUAACCUGCCCUCUUCUUUGGGAUAACGCCCGGAAACGGGUGCUAAUACUGGAUAUUCACUGAUCUUCGCAUGGGGGUUGGUGGAAAGGGUUGUUCUGGUGGGGGAUGGGCUCGCGGCCUAUCAGCUUGUUGGUGGGGUGAUGGCCUACCAAGGCGUUGACGGGUAGCCGGCCUGGGAGGGUGACCGGUCACAUUGGGACUGAGAUACGGCCCAGACUCCUACGGGAGGCAGCAGUGGGGAAUAUUGCACAAUGGGCGAAAGCCUGAUGCAGCGACGCCGCGUGAGGGAUGGAGGCCUUCGGGUUGUAAACCUCUUUCGCUCAUGGUCAAGCCGCAACUGUGGGUUGUGGUGAGGGUAGUGGGUAAAGAAGCGCCGGCUAACUACGUG
This 486-nucleotide ribosomal RNA is filed under the name uncultured bacterium. RNAcentral describes it as "partial 16S ribosomal RNA". It matches the Rfam family "Bacterial small subunit ribosomal RNA", at positions 28 to 507 of the family's 1533-position model. The record is from RNAcentral.